ACUCCUACGGGAGGCAGCAGUGGGGAAUAUUGCACAAUGGGGGAAACCCUGAAUGCAGCCAUGCCGCGUGUGUGAAGAAGGCCUUCGGGUUGUAAAGGCACUUUCAGUAGGGAGGAAGGUUAGUGUAGUUAACACCUGCAUUAGUUUGACGUUACCUACAGAAGAAGCACCGGCUAACUCCGUGCCAGCAGCCGCGGUAAUACGGAGGGUGCGAGCGGUUAAUCGGAAUUACUGGGGCGUAAAGCGCAUGCAGGCGGCCUGUUAAGUCAGAUGUGAAAGCCCGGGGCUUAACCUCGGAAUUGCAUUUGAAACUGGCAGGCU
Molecule: ribosomal RNA, 321 nt
Filed under: uncultured bacterium
Lineage: Bacteria
Description: bacterial SSU rRNA
Rfam family: Bacterial small subunit ribosomal RNA
Source: RNAcentral